ACUCCUACGGGAGGCAGCAGUAGGGAAUCUUCCACAAUGGGCGAAAGCCUGAUGGAGCAACGCCGCGUGGGUGAAGAAGGUCUUCGGAUCGUAAAACCCUGUUGUUAGAGAAGAAAGUGCGUGAGAGUAACUGUUCACGUUUCGACGGUAUCUAACCAGAAAGCCACGGCUAACUACGUGCCAGCAGCCGCGGUAAUACGUAGGUGGCAAGCGUUAUCCGGAUUUAUUGGGCGUAAAGGGAACGCAGGCGGUCUUUUAAGUCUGAUGUGAAAGCCUUCGGCUUAACCGGAGUAGUGCAUUGGAAACUGGGAGACUUGAGUGCAGAAGAGGAGAGUGGAACUCCAUGUGUAGCGGUGAAAUGCGUAGAUAUAUGGAAGAACACCAGUGGCGAAAGCGGCUCUCU
Molecule: ribosomal RNA, 403 nt
Filed under: uncultured bacterium
Lineage: Bacteria
Description: bacterial SSU rRNA
Rfam family: Bacterial small subunit ribosomal RNA
Source: RNAcentral